RNAcentral lists this transfer RNA (73 nucleotides) under Camelus bactrianus (Bactrian camel). It matches the Rfam family "tRNA". From Rfam's summary of the family: Transfer RNA (tRNA) molecules are approximately 80 nucleotides in length. Their secondary structure includes four short double-helical elements and three loops (D, anti-codon, and T loops). RNAcentral also lists the same sequence under 2 other names. Lineage: Eukaryota; Metazoa; Chordata; Mammalia; Artiodactyla; Camelidae. The record is from Rfam by way of RNAcentral.
GGGGGUUUAGCACAAUGGUAGAGCACAUGCUUAGCAUGCACAAGGUCAUGGGUUCAUUUCCCAAGUACCUCCA